AGUCUGGUGCCAGCAGCCGCGGUAAUUCCAGCUCCAAUAGUGUAUAUUAUUGUUGCUGUAGUUAAAAAGCUCGUAGUUGGAUUUCGAAAUGCGACUGUCCAAGCCCGUCCAAGUGGCGUGGCUCGACUGGUUGCUUUCUGUCUUUGGGUAAUGGGCGUAGCUUCGGUUGCGUUUUCCGUUCCCAAUUGUUUACUUUGAAAAAAUUAGCGCGUUCAAAGCAGGUGUAACUUUGCCUUGAAUAGUUUAGCAUGGGAUAAUAGAAUAGGACCACCGGCCUUAUUUUAUUGGUUUCUAAAGCUGGGGUAAUGAUUAAUAGGGACAGUUGGGGUCGGUCGUAUUGAGUCGUCAGAGGUGAAAUUCUAUGAUUGACUCAAGACGAACUGGUGCGAAAGCGUCCGACAAGGAUGUUUCCGUUAAUCAUGAACGAAAGUUGGGGGAUCGAAGAUGAUCAGAUACCGUCGUAGUCCUAACCAUAAACUAUGUGGACCAAGGAUCCGAGGAUGUUCCAUGGAUGGCUCUCCGGGCACUUUGUGAGAAAUCAGAGUAUUUGCAUUCCGGGGGGAGUAUGGCCGCAAGACUGAAACUUAAAGGAAUUGACGGAAGGGCACCACCAGGAGUGGAAUCUGCGGCUUAAUUUGACACAACACGGGGAAACUCACCAGGUCCGGACACAGUAAGGAUUGACAUUGAGAGCUCUUUCUUGAUUCUGUGGGUGGUGGUGCAUGGCCGUUUUUAGUUGGUGGAUUGAUUUGUCUUGUUAAUUCGGAUAACGAGCGAGACCUCAUCCUGCUAAUUAGUGAUGUGAAUUUGGUUCCUCGCAAGGGGUUCCUAUCUGAUUCGUCUACUUCUUAGAGGGACUCUCGGCACCUUUAGCCGAUGGAAGUUUGAGGCAAAAACAGGUCUGUGAUGCCCUUAGAUGUCCUGGGCUGCACGCGCGUUACACUGGCUAUUGCAACGAGUGAUUUCCUGCCUCGAAGGGGGUGGGUAAACUUUUCAACGAUAGCCGUGAUUGGGAUUGAACCUUGCAAUUAUUGUUCAUGAACGAGGAAUUCCUAGUAAGCGCAGUUCAUCAAACUGCGCUGAUUACGUCCCUGCCCUUUGUACACACCGCCCGUCGCUUGUACCGAUUGAAUGAUCCGGUGAGGACCUGGGACUGUUAGUAUCUUAUCUUCUCGCAAGGGAAGGUCUGGCUGAUGGAAGCUAGUUCAAAUCAUAUCAUUUAGAGGAACAAGAAGU
RNAcentral lists this ribosomal RNA (1236 nucleotides) under metagenome. Its description in RNAcentral is "SSU rRNA". It matches the Rfam family "Eukaryotic small subunit ribosomal RNA", at positions 558 to 1789 of the family's 1831-position model. The record is from RNAcentral.